UACGGAGGGUGCGAGCGUUAUCCGGAAUCACUGGGUUUAAAGGGUACGUAGGCGGCUUUGUAAGUCAGAGGUGAAAUAUUGGGGCUUAACCUCGAUGCUGCCUUUGAUACUGCUUAGCUUGGGUAAUGAUGAGGCUGGCGGAAUGCGUCAUGUAGCGGUGAAAUGCUUAGAUAUGACGUGGAACACCGAUUGCGAAGGCAGCUGGCUGGGCAUUUACCGACGCUGAGGUACGAAAGCGCGGGUAGCGAACAGG
RNAcentral lists this ribosomal RNA (253 nucleotides) under uncultured bacterium. Its description in RNAcentral is "partial 16S ribosomal RNA". It matches the Rfam family "Bacterial small subunit ribosomal RNA", at positions 524 to 776 of the family's 1533-position model. The record is from RNAcentral.